AAGGAAUUAACUCUGUAAUAAACAGAUUAGUUAAACAAUUAAUAAACAAGUUAACUCUGUAAAUCCAGAGAUUAAUUAAAACUAAUCCAAUAUCCAGGAUAUAUGUGUUAUUAUGAAUAACAGAAUGAUGUGCAGGCAAUUAACCCAAAUAAAUAAGAAACUUAAGGAUACAUAUGCAAAAGUUUCAAUAAACAUAUGCGUUGGUAAUUAAAGGAAAGUUCGAGGUUACGAGUUCAAAAGUUUCAAUAAACAUGUGCCGAAGUAAUUAAAGGAAAGCUCGAGAUUACGAGUGCAAAAGUUUCAAUAAACAUGUGCCGAAGUGAUUAAAGGAAAGCUCGAGGUUACAAACGCAAAAGUUUCAAUAAACACGAUUUGUGAUUGAAAGAAGCUUGGGGUUAUUGUUGCAAAAGUUUCAAUAAGAUUAUAACGGAUUGUUUUACAUUGAUUAGUUAAUUAGUAGUUAAUCAGUCAGUGUAAUUCUAUAUAAGUAGAUCAUUAUUGUAAACUAAUACUCAUUCAAUUUUAUACAAAGUAUAUUCCAGUUAAACCCGG
RNAcentral lists this long non-coding RNA (552 nucleotides) under Zostera marina. RNAcentral describes it as "long non-coding RNA (ZMAR_LNC004396)". Lineage: Eukaryota; Viridiplantae; Streptophyta; Magnoliopsida; Alismatales; Zosteraceae. The record is from RNAcentral.